Molecule: ribosomal RNA, 253 nt
Filed under: uncultured bacterium
Lineage: Bacteria
Description: partial 16S ribosomal RNA
Rfam family: Bacterial small subunit ribosomal RNA
Source: RNAcentral
UACAGAGGGUGCAAGCGUUAUUCGGAAUUACUGGGCGUAAAGCGUGCGUAGGCGGUUAUGUAAGUCAGGUGUGAAAGCCCCGGGCUCAACCUGGGAAUUGCAUUUGAGACUGCAUAGCUAGGGUGCGGAAGAGGGAAGCGGAAUUUCCGGUGUAGCGGUGAAAUGCGUAGAUAUCGGAAGGAACACCAGUGGCGAAAGCGGCUUCCUGGUCCAGCACCGACGUUCAGGCACGAAAGCGUGGGGAGCAAACCGG